UGACUCUGGAAACCAUUCAGAGUAGAUUCGAGUGGUGAAAGUGUCAGAAAUUUGGCCAUGUGUCACUGUGUGCAUCUCCAGGGGUUCUUCCUGACCCCAUGAGGACAAGGAGAAGAAGUGCAGUGCGGCACAGUGAGUGCACAUCCCUGCAGGACUCCCUCAGGAGCUCUGAUUAAUCCCAGCUUUGCCCUCACUGUAAGGCUUCUCCCGAAACCUUAAGCUGUCAUUUGGGUGUUCUCAUCCAUCAGCUACUGGAAGCUCUAUCGAUAAUGCAAUCAUUUCCCCUUUGGUCCUUCUGUUUCCCUUUUUCUGUGCUGCAGAUGCUGCCAUUUGUUAUUGCCGUCCCUCUGAAAUGCUGGAGGCUGUGCAGGCGCUCCAUGGCACAGGGAGAGCUCCUGCACCCUCAGCAAGGAACAGCCAGGAGUCACCCCAUGGUCUGUGCUGGCCAGAGCUGCUAGCACUGACUGCAUGAGAAACACAACCGAAGGGGGAAAGAUGGUGAGCAAAAAGCUUGACCACACCUGGGCAGCAGUGGUGAAAGCAACAUCAGUGGGAGAUGCUGCCAACGGCCACCCCGACACAUCUGGGCUCAACGUGUUAGAGGGGCUGCGGGCAGCCUGCCUGAGCAGAGCCGGCUCCACGGCCGCGGGAUGCGCAGUGCUGCAAGGGAUCUCAGCCAUCAAUAAACAUCAGUGUCAAAAAGGACAGGAAAAGGUUAUUUAUCACAAAGCAGGCCAAGGAACAGGAAUGCAGCAGGGGUGAUGUGGGCUCUGGCCACCCCGCUGGGCCCAUGUCCGGUGGCAGCUCGGGGUCAGAGCCGCCAGCCCAGCACUCUGCAUCCCCAUGGCUCGCCUGGGGCUGGGCUGUGUGCUG
Molecule: long non-coding RNA, 873 nt
Filed under: Coturnix japonica (Japanese quail)
Lineage: Eukaryota; Metazoa; Chordata; Aves; Galliformes; Phasianidae
Description: lncRNA (ENSCJPG00005016360.1)
Source: RNAcentral